Molecule: ribosomal RNA, 491 nt
Filed under: uncultured bacterium
Lineage: Bacteria
Description: partial 16S ribosomal RNA
Rfam family: Bacterial small subunit ribosomal RNA
Source: RNAcentral
AGUGAACGCUGGCGGUAGGCCUAACACAUGCCAGUCGAACGGCAGCACAGUAAGAGCUUGCUCUAACGGGUGGCGAGACGCGGACGGGUCAGGAAUACAUCGGACUCUACUUUCUCGUGUGGGAUAACGUAGGUAAACUUACGCUAAUACCGCAUACUACCUACGGGUGAAAGCAGGGGAUCUUCUGACCUUGCGCGAUUGAAUGAGCCGUUGUCGGAUUACCUAGUUGGCGGGGUAAAGGCCCACCAAGGCGAGGAUGCGUAGCUGGUCUGAGAGGAUGGUCCGCCACUGUGGAGCUGAGACGCGACCCAGGCACCUAGGGGCGGCAGCGGUGGGGAAUAUUGGACAAUGGGCGGAAGCCUGAACCUGCCAUACCGCGUGGGUGAAGAGGGCCUUCGGGUUGUAAAGCCCUUUUGUUGGGAAAGAAAAGCAGCAGGUUAAAACCCCGCUGCUCUGACGGUACCCAAAGAAUAGGCACCGGCUACCUUCGU